GAUGAGCGCUGGCGGCGUGCUUAACACAUGCAAGUCGAACGAGAACGGGUUAUAGCUUGCUAUAAUUGUCAGCUAAGUGGCGCACGGGUGAGUAAAGUAUAGGUAAUAUGCCUCUUACUAAGGGAUAACAAAUGGAAACGUUUGCUAAUACCUUAUACUCCUUAUUAACAUAAGUUAAUAAGGGAAAGAUUUAUUGGUAAGAGAUUAGCCUGUAUUGUAUCAGUUAGUUGGUGGGGUAAUGGCUUACCAAGACUAUGACACAUAACUGGUUUGAGAGGAUGAUCAGUCACACUGGAACUGAGACACGGUCCAGACUCCUACGGGAGGCAGCAGUGGGGAAUAUUGCACAAUGGACGAAAGUCUGAUGCAGCAACGCCGCGUGGAGGAUGACACAUUUCGGUGCGUAAACUCCUUUUAUAUGAGAAGAUAAUGACGGUAUUAUAUGAAUAAGCACCGGCUAACUCCGUGCCAGCCGCCGCAGUAA
RNAcentral lists this ribosomal RNA (484 nucleotides) under uncultured bacterium. RNAcentral's name for it is "partial 16S ribosomal RNA". It matches the Rfam family "Bacterial small subunit ribosomal RNA", at positions 28 to 523 of the family's 1533-position model. The record is from RNAcentral.